GAUGAACGCUGGCGGCGUGCUUAACACAUGCAAGUCGAACGGAAAGGCUCCUGCUUGCAGGGGUACUCGAGUGGCGAACGGGUGAGUAACACGUGGGUGAUCUGCCCUGCACUUCGGGAUAAGCCUGGGAAACUGGGUCUAAUACCGGAUAGGACGAUGGUUUGGAUGCCAUUGUGGAAAGUUUUUCGGUGUGGGAUGAGCUCGCGGCCUAUCAGCUUGUUGGUGGGGUAAUGGCCUACCAAGGCGUCGACGGGUAGCCGGCCUGAGAGGGUGUACGGCCACAUUGGGACUGAGAGACGGCCCAGACUCCUACGGGAGGCAGCAGUGGGGAAUAUUGCACAAUGGGCGCAAGCCUGAUGCAGCGACGCCGCGUGGGGGAUGACGGCCUUCGGGUUGUAAACUCCUUUCGCUAGGGACGAAGCGCAAGUGACGGUACCUGGAGAAGAAGCACCGGCUAACUACGUG
This 465-nucleotide ribosomal RNA is filed under the name uncultured bacterium. Its description in RNAcentral is "partial 16S ribosomal RNA". It matches the Rfam family "Bacterial small subunit ribosomal RNA", at positions 28 to 507 of the family's 1533-position model. The record is from RNAcentral.